AACCCGGUAUCUUUGAAAUCUCGAACAAUGAAUCCAAACUCCUUUAUUCCUUCUAUUUACUAUUCAGUUGCAUUCUUGAAAGAGAAUUCAUUGCAUCGAUUCUCAGUCUCCUGAUGUAAAUCUAGUAGGUUUUGUUGUUGAAGCUUUUGAUAUGGCAAUUCUAGGUUGUUUGGUUCUUGUUGUAGCUUAUUGUUGUGAUGCAUAGGCUCUUCUAGUUCCUGCCUCCUUUGUUCCACCUUUAGUAGUUGCUGAUGAGGCUCAUCUGGUUGCAUCACAUCCGUUGCAUCUGUACAGAAAUUCAUGCAUGUAAUUCUUGAUUUUGCUCUUUGUUUUUGAGAGGUUGUAUUAUAUUUUUAUUUUCAUAAUUGUGAACCUAUAAAUUGGAAGAUUACUGCCAAACUCUUGUGUAGUUGCUUUUAUUGCUGGGCUUUGAAUGCUCGACUCUUCAUAAUAUCCAACAGUUGGCAUGUUUGCCCUUUUAGAAGUAUAUAUCCUAUGGUGCAUCUUUUCUAAAUAAUAGGGUGGCAUAUACUUCUCUUGUAACUUAGCUUUCAUCUCCUGCCACAUAACAAUUGGUGGAUGGCUUGGUCUUUUCAUAUCAUUCUCAACACCAUACCACCAUAUUUUUGCUAAUCCAAUGAAUUUCACGUUUGCAAACGUCACUCUACGAUCUUCCCCAUGCUAUGCUUAUCAAAGUAUGAUUCAAUAGAAUUGAGCCAAGCCAAUAACAAAAUAGAGUAGGAUCCAACAAAACUUCAAAAGUAGCAACCUUUAUUUUGUCUCUCAUGUCAAAAUUGUCUACUGUACCUUUUAAUUGAAAUUGCCUUCUAU
This 831-nucleotide unclassified non-coding RNA is filed under the name Hevea brasiliensis (rubber tree). The record is from RNAcentral. Lineage: Eukaryota; Viridiplantae; Streptophyta; Magnoliopsida; Malpighiales; Euphorbiaceae.